This 197-nucleotide ribosomal RNA is filed under the name uncultured bacterium. RNAcentral describes it as "partial 16S ribosomal RNA". It matches the Rfam family "Bacterial small subunit ribosomal RNA", at positions 335 to 524 of the family's 1533-position model. The record is from RNAcentral.
ACUCCUACGGGAGGCAGCAGUGGGGAAUAUUGGACAAUGGGCGCAAGCCUGAUCCAGCCAUGCCGCGUGUGUGAAGAAGGCCUUCGGGUUGUAAAGCACUUUCAGCGAGGAGGAAGGGGUAGUUGUUAAUAGCAGCUACUUUUGACGUUACUCGCAGAAGAAGCACCGGCUAACUCUGUGCCAGCAGCCGCGGUAAU